Molecule: ribosomal RNA, 1097 nt
Filed under: Curtobacterium citreum
Lineage: Bacteria; Bacillati; Actinomycetota; Actinomycetes; Micrococcales; Microbacteriaceae
Description: bacterial SSU rRNA
Rfam family: Bacterial small subunit ribosomal RNA
Source: RNAcentral
GAUUCUUACGGGAGGCAGCAGUGGGGAAUUUUGCACAAUGGGCGAAAGCCUGAUGCAGCAACGCCGCAUGAGGGAUGACGGCCUUUGGGGUGGUAAACCUCUUUUAGUAGGGAAGAAGCGUAAGUGACGGUACCUGCAGAAAAAGCACCGGCUAAAUACGUGCCAGCAGCCGCGGUAAUAUGUAGGGUGCAAGCGUUGUCCGGAAUUAUUGGGCGUAAAGAGCUAGUAGGCGGUCUGUCGCGUCUGCUGUGAAAUCCCGAGGCUCAACCUCGGGCUUGCAGUGGGUACGGGCAGACUAGAGUGCGGUAGGGGAGAUUGGAAUUCCUGGUGUAGCGGUGGAAUGCGCAGAUAUCAGGAGGAACACCGAUGGCGAAGGCAGAUCUCUGGGCCGUAACUGACGCUGAGGAGCGAAAGCGUGGGGAGCGAACAGGAUUAGAUACCCUGGUAGUCCACGCCGUAAACGUUGGGCGCUAGAUGUAGGGACCUUUCCACGGUUUCUGUGUCGUAGCUAACGCAUUAAGCGCCCCGCCUGGGGAGUACGGCCGCAAGGCUAAAACUCAAAGGAAUUGACGGGGGCCCGCACAAGCGGCGGAGCAUGCGGAUUAAUUCGAUGCAACGCGAAGAACCUUACCAAGGCUUGACAUACACCGGAAACGGCCAGAGAUGGUUGCCCCCUUGUGGUCGGUGUACAGGUGGUGCAUUGUUGUCGUCAGCUCGUGUCGUGAGAUGUUGGGUUAAGUCCCGCAACGAGCGCAACCCUCGUUCUAUGUUGCCAGCGCGUUAUGGCGGGGACUCAUAGGAGACUGCCGGGGUCAACUCGGAGGAAGGUGGGGAUGACGUCAAAUCAUCAUGCCCCUUAUGUCUUGGGCUUCACGCAUGCUACAAUGGCCGGUACAAAGGGCUGCGAUACCGUAAGGUGGAGCGAAUCCCAAAAAGCCGGUCUCAGUUCGGAUUGAGGUCUGCAACUCGACCUCAUGAAGUCGGAGUCGCUAGUAAUCGCAGAUCAGCAACGCUGCGGUGAAUACGUUCCCGGGCCUUGUACACACCGCCCGUCAAGUCAUGAAAGUCGGUAACACCCGAAGCCGGUGGCCUAACCC